This is a long non-coding RNA of Eurytemora carolleeae, 749 nucleotides long. RefSeq lists it as uncharacterized. The record is from RefSeq and is a predicted model, not a curated record. Lineage: Eukaryota; Metazoa; Arthropoda; Copepoda; Calanoida; Temoridae. The transcript has 2 exons.
AAACUGAGUAUGCAGUGUUGUGGUCAAAUUAUUUCCGAUUCAUUUGAGACAUGCAAAACUUUUUAAAGAUUUGUAAAUACUGAGGAAAAUGUCGCUGUUUUGCUAUCAUCUUAAAAGGUUUUAAAUUCUUAACAUUUCUUCAUUCUUUCUAGAAUAUACAUCUGUACUUUUAAGAGAAACCAAAAUUUUCAAAGAAUAGAUUAUAGAUUUCUCACUCACAUUCUAUUUAGACCAAGGUUUAAAGGGUACCGUUGUGAAUUAGCAAUGCUAUUCUAAUAAGAGAGAUUAGAUUUUGAUGUCAAGUAACUCAAUUUAAAGUUCGGUAUGACUGUUUUACAAUUGUGACCUUAAAAGCUUUGUACGAUGAGGAAUGUAUGAGAUAUCCAUAAUAUUCUCUUUGAAAAUUUAUUAUUUUCGUUCUCUGUACAGUGACUUGUGCAUUUCUGCUACAGAAACGAUGUAAGACACGAAGAUAUAUCUCACAUUAUUGAUCAGAUAAAGGUUUCAAGGGUACCGUUAGGGUUCGAACAUGCCACUUAAAAAAUAAAAUAAUACUUGUCUUGAAGAAUGUAAAGUUAUAGAAUUUAGAUGUUUAAGUUUCUUGAUCAAUGUAUAUUGUACAACAAUGCACAGAAUAUAUUACACCAUGUAACGUACUGAUAAACAGUUGUACACUGUAAUUAUUGUAAUGUAAUUCUCAAUGUGAGUUUGUAACUAAUCCAUCCGAAAUAAAUAUUGUACUUCUUUAA